This 402-nucleotide ribosomal RNA is filed under the name uncultured bacterium. Its description in RNAcentral is "bacterial SSU rRNA". It matches the Rfam family "Bacterial small subunit ribosomal RNA", at positions 355 to 774 of the family's 1533-position model. The record is from RNAcentral.
UGGGGAAUAUUGGACAAUGGGGGCAACCCUGAUCCAGCAAUGCCGCGUGAGUGAUGAAGGCCUUAGGGUUGUAAAGCUCUUUUACCAGGGAUGAUAAUGACAGUACCUGGAGAAUAAGCUCCGGCUAACUCCGUGCCAGCAGCCGCGGUAAUACGGAGGGAGCUAGCGUUGUUCGGAAUUACUGGGCGUAAAGCGCACGUAGGCGGUUACUCAAGUCAGAGGUGAAAGCCCGGGGCUCAACCCCGGAACUGCCUUUGAAACUAGGUAACUAGAAUCCUGGAGAGGUGAGUGGAAUUCCGAGUGUAGAGGUGAAAUUCGUAGAUAUUCGGAAGAACACCAGUGGCGAAGGCGGCUCACUGGACAGGUAUUGACGCUGAGGUGCGAAAGCGUGGGGAGCAAACA